GUCAAUGUCUUCUGGCUCCUUGUGGGGGUUGCACAGAUACAAGUGCAAAGAGGAAAUCUGCCUCCCCACUUUCAUGGAAUCUUACAGUUUGAGACUACAUUCCAAGGUAUCUGAAUAAGUAGACAAGCAUGACAUUUUCUUCUUGAAAUGUAAUCUUUAUUACUUCAAUUAAUAACUAUGUAUCAGGGAUAAAUAGUUUGCCAGUAUACCUUAUUGCUGUUAAUUUUGCUACUACAUAGUACGUAUGUAUGAUGAUGCUUUCUCUAGCACUUGUGUGGGUUUUUAUAGUAUAUAUCUAUAUUGCUUUGCAUACAUUAUCUAAUUUUGGUUUUCAUUCUCAAAACAACACUGCGAAGUUAAUAUAAUCUGCAGGGCAGGUAUUAUUAUCCCAAAUGAGGAAACUGAGGCUCACAAAAAUUAAGUAGCUUGCAUAAAGUCAGAUGGCUACCAACAUUGAAGGAAGAUAGAUGUUUAGUCUUAAUGAAGAAUCUCAGUAAUACAUAUAUACACCCAUUUUCUCACAUACUUGCAUGUACAUGUAUACACCCCUUUCUUGCCUCUCGUUUGGCAAACUAAACACAUUUCUUUUGUGGCCGGGCAAAUCCUGAUGAUGACUGGGUUAGCUAUCCUCUUGAAAAAGGCAUUGCCUGUGAUCUGAACUCAGGUCCAGAUCAGAUCAGAGCUUUCCGAGUUUCUUGACUUUUGUGUGAAUCAAUUUAGUACUGUUACCGAGAUUCUACAUACAGGAAAGAAGAAACAAAAUGAAUCACUUUAUUCUCCCAUCUUUCUCCUCAAUCAUGUAGCCAUCCAUUAUCCAACCAUUUCACUAUGUUCUAAACACUGAGCUAAGAGCUGAAAAUAAAACUUUAAAGAAAAACAAUCGGAUUCAUGCUUCAGGGAACUUAUAGUCAAGGGCUGCUUUUUUUUUUUUUUCUAAAUGAGCCUACAAGAAAUAAGAGAGAAAUAUAAUGAUUUUGUGAAUGAUCUGUGCAUUUUCUACUUCCCAACAGAAGUAUCCCUAACAGCUGAGCACUAUAAACUCAACUCCUAAGGGUAAGGGGUGAGGCAUUUCUUUGAAGACUCAUGUUUUGCCUUAAAGAUUAAUGCAAAAAUAUGUAUUCUAUUCUAUAAUAUGUGUGCGCUUAUUUUGAUAACCAUUUCC
Molecule: long non-coding RNA, 1162 nt
Filed under: Homo sapiens (human)
Lineage: Eukaryota; Metazoa; Chordata; Mammalia; Primates; Hominidae
Description: long non-coding RNA NONHSAT224254
Source: RNAcentral